GAUGAAGAACGUAGCGAAAUGCGAUACUUGGUGUGAAUUACAGAAUCCCGUGAACCAUCGAGUCUUUGAACGCAAGUUGCGCCCGAAGCCAUUAGGCCGAAGGCACGCCUGCCUGGGCGUCACACGUCGUUGCCCCCCCAUCUACUCCUUCGGGAUUGCGGGGGGCGGAUGAUGGCCUCCCGUGCGCCUCGCCGCGCGGUUGGCAUAAAUGCCAAGUCCUCGGCGACGCACGCCACGACAAUCGGUGGUUGCGAAACCUCGGUUGCCCGUCGUGUGCGGUCGUCGCGCAUCGAGGGCUCGAAAAAAUUGCCGGGUUCCGGCUCGGCUUUCAACGCGACCCCAGGUCAGGCGGGGUUACCCGCUGAAUUUAAGCAUAUCAAUAAGCGGAGGA
RNAcentral lists this unclassified non-coding RNA (391 nucleotides) under soil metagenome. RNAcentral describes it as "partial contains 5.8S ribosomal RNA, internal transcribed spacer 2, and large subunit ribosomal RNA". The stretch from base 1 to 122 matches the Rfam family "5.8S ribosomal RNA", at positions 35 to 154 of the family's 154-position model. The record is from RNAcentral.